This 389-nucleotide ribosomal RNA is filed under the name uncultured bacterium. RNAcentral describes it as "bacterial SSU rRNA". It matches the Rfam family "Bacterial small subunit ribosomal RNA", at positions 28 to 418 of the family's 1533-position model. The record is from RNAcentral.
GACGAACGCUGGCGGCGUGCUUAACACAUGCAAGUCGAGCGGUAAGGCCCUUUCGGGGGUACGACGAGCGGCGAACGGGUGAGUAACACGUGGGUGACCUGCCCUCAGCUCUGGGAUAAGCCUGGGAAACUGGGUCUAAUACUGGAUAUGACUCCACGGUGCAUGUCGUGGGGUGGAAAGCCUUGUGCGGCUGAGGAUGGGCCCGCGGCCUAUCAGCUUGUUGGUGGGGUGAGGCCUACCAAGGCGACGACGGGUAGCCGGCCUGAGAGGGCGACCGGCCACACUGGGACUGAGACACGGCCCAGACUCCUACGGGAGGCAGCAGUGGGGAAUAUUGCGCAAUGGGCGAAAGCCUGACGCAGCGACGCCGCGUGCGGGAUGACGGCCUC